This 253-nucleotide ribosomal RNA is filed under the name uncultured bacterium. RNAcentral's name for it is "partial 16S ribosomal RNA". It matches the Rfam family "Bacterial small subunit ribosomal RNA", at positions 524 to 776 of the family's 1533-position model. The record is from RNAcentral.
GACGAAGGAUGCAAGCGUUAUCCGGAUUCAUUGGGUUUAAAGGGAGCGUAGGCGGGCUUGUAAGUCAGUGGUGAAAUCUGUGGGCUUAACCCACAAACUGCCAUUGAUACUGCAGGUCUAGAGUACAGUUGCCGUUGGCGGAAUAUGACAUGUAGUGGUGAAAUACUUAGAUAUGUCAUAGAACACCGAUUGCGAAGGCAGCUAACGAAACUGUAACUGACGCUGAGGCUCGAAAGCGUGGGGAGCAAACAGG